This 468-nucleotide ribosomal RNA is filed under the name uncultured bacterium. RNAcentral describes it as "partial 16S ribosomal RNA". It matches the Rfam family "Bacterial small subunit ribosomal RNA", at positions 28 to 507 of the family's 1533-position model. The record is from RNAcentral.
GACGAACGCUGGCGGCGUGCUUAACACAUGCAAGUCGAACGGAAAGGCCCUGCUUUUGUGGGGUGCUCGAGUGGCGAACGGGUGAGUAACACGUGAGUAACCUGCCCUUGACUUUGGGAUAACUUCAGGAAACUGGGGCUAAUACCGGAUAGGAGCUCCUGCUGCAUGGUGGGGGGUGGAAAGUUUCGGCGGUUGGGGAUGGACUCGCGGCUUAUGAGCUUGUUGGUGGGGUAGUGGCUUACCAAGGCUUUGACGGGUAGCCGGCCUGAGAGGGUGACCGGCCACAUUGGGACUGAGAUACGGCCCAGACUCCUACGGGAGGGAGCAGUGGGGAAUAGUGCACAAUGGGCGGAAGCCUGAUGCAGCAACGCCGCGUGCGGGAUGACGGCCUUCGGGUUGUAAACCGCUUUCGCCUGUGACGAAGCGUGAGUGACGGUAAUGGGUAAAGAAGCACCGGCUAACUACGUG